GGAUUAGAUACCCUGGUAGUCCAUGCCGUAAACGAUGAGUGUUCAACGUUGGAGAUUAUUUUCUUCAGUGUUCAAGCUAACGCGUGAAACACUCCGCCUGAGGAGUACGGCCGCAAGGUUGAAACUCAAAGGAAGUGACGGGAGCCCGCACAAGCAGUGGAGCAUGUGGUUUAAUUCGAAACAACGCGCAGAACCUUACCAGCUCUUGACAUAUAAACUGUGGUUAGUAGAGAUAUUAUCCAUAUCAAAGUUUUUACAGGUGUUGCAUGGCUGUCGUCAGCUCGUGCUG
Molecule: ribosomal RNA, 289 nt
Filed under: uncultured bacterium
Lineage: Bacteria
Description: partial 16S ribosomal RNA
Rfam family: Bacterial small subunit ribosomal RNA
Source: RNAcentral